This 3264-nucleotide long non-coding RNA is filed under the name Cicer arietinum (chickpea). RNAcentral describes it as "long non-coding RNA (CARI_LNC001977)". Lineage: Eukaryota; Viridiplantae; Streptophyta; Magnoliopsida; Fabales; Fabaceae. The record is from RNAcentral.
GAAUAUUUUUAAUAAAUGGAAGAUAAAUAUUACCUAUUGUGCCACCACUUACGAUCUUACCUUUAUGAUUUUCUCCAAAUCCAAAAAAUUAUCCUACCUUGAAGGUUAAGUUUUGGAAAAUAAACUUUUCUUUUGUCAUGUGUUAUAUGCAUCCAUUGUACAGGUACCAUGAAUGGUGUUUCAUUUUGUUCUUGGACAUGCAUAUUAUCAUGACAUUUCUUUAACCAAUAGGAGCAAGUAGUUUCAGGUAUGUUAAAUUUUGAAGUUUCCUAUGGUUCUUCAAAUUCAAUACAUUUUCAGUUGUUUCUCCUAACACCAUAUAUCAUAGACAUUUUUUUUUGCAUCUAUUGUGCCAUUUUCAAGAAAAAUCUUGAAAGGCUUUUUCAUACUUUAGAAUUACAAGCAUUUUUCUUUAAAAACUUUGAAACAUUACCCUUCAGAGGUUAGUUUUCCCUUUUUAUAUUUUUGAAAUCUUUUCCAAGGGAUUCAUACUUAUCAAUUAAGAUGGAAUGAGCUUUUGUGAGAACAAAAUCUGAAAUAUGUACCUUUUGAAAUUGAAGAUUAACUUUAUUAUAAGUGUCAUUCACCAUAAUUUUCCCUUAUCAUUAUUUGUGGAAAAAGUACCAGGCUAAGAAUUUAAAGGGAUAAAAGGUAUAUGUUGCGCAUUCAACUAAACAUUGAAAGGCCCCCCGAUAGCAUAAUUCAAAUGGGCUUGCGUUGCAAUAUAUGCGUGACCCUAGAAUCCUUGAACUCUUUUUACAUUUAAGGUGAAAAAAUUAUAACAAAAAUUCGUUUUUAACUUCCAAAUCCUUGACAUGUUGAACCUCGUUUUGAAACAUGAGUUUAACUAUGUCAGAAAAUUGUUGGAGCCUUGAUACAUGAUAUCAUGGAUAUCCAUAUCAAUUUUUUUUCUUCUGAUGAAGAACAUGAUCAUGACCACUAGCUCCUUAAGGAGAUCCGUUAGAGGACCAUCUGUAUUGUUUGGAGAAGCCACAUUAGUUGACAUUCCAAGCCUCUGGGGUAGUUCAUUUGAACAUGUGAGAUUAGUUCCUUUUGAUGUUGAAGCGGGUAUCAAUGGUUUGAUUUGAGACUUAUACUUGAGCGCAAAUGCAUACGCCAAUUGUGGCUGCGAUAUGAGAACUAAACUUGGUAAUUCUGCAAGUUGUGUUGUCCCACUAGGCAUGCAAAUUUAGUUGUUGAACUAGAAAGUUAGUCGAGAAGAUCGACUUAUAACUAUCAAUAGUGGUUGUUUUUUCUUCAAGAUAUUAUGCCAAGAAAGGAACUUUGUUCCUUGCUACAAGUUCCUUAACUCUUCUAAAGAGUGUUAAGUGUGGCUAAGGUUGUUUUGUGAAAUAAAUGACUAAUGAAACAUAAAUGAUAAAAAGUAGAAAAGCUAAAAGACAAAAAUGCGAGUGAAAAACGUGUUUGAUUGAUUGAUUGUGUUGUGUUGUAUGGAAUGUUACAAGCUUAUUUUUAGACGAAAAUAAUAACAUAAAACCUCAUUACCCACUAUGUUCAACUAACAAAGAACAAAUUCUAGUUGUCGUGACAUGACUAGACUUUAGGAAAAUGUGGUUGACAUAAUCAAUAUUUUAGUGUACAUCGGAGUCCACGAUUUACGUUCACUAUAUGUUAUGUGGUUCUGACAGUUAUCCAUAAUAGUGCCCUUGUUUUUUCCAUUUAACCAUGCCUCCUAUAUUUUAGUUGUGUUUCUUAGGCCUAAUUAUAAAUAAGGAAAAUAAGCAAGAGGUCGAGUUAUCUUUGUUCAUAUGUUUUCUUGUAAUUUUAAAACUCCUAUAAUCCUUUUUAGGUCUACUUAGAACCAAAAGAAACUCGACUUCGUAACUUUCGGUUGUUACUAAUUUGGCUAAAUGCUUACUUGGUUGUAAAGGCAUUGGCUUAUCAUUUCCUCAACUGCAAAUUGUCUGGACUAACAACUUAUUUUAUUAUUUUGGUGUAAACACAUAAGGUAAUUUAUUGCAAAAAAAUUAUUUAAGUGAUAUUCUCUAAGUACAUAUCAUAUGACAACGGCAAGGACAUUUGAUAUGCUAAAAUGUGAGUUCAAACCUAAGAUAUCCCUCUUCUUCCAUAUUUAAUAUGUAUGGUUUGUACUACUUAAUACUUUAGAAAGAAAGAAAAAAGUGUUUUAGCGAGUCAAAUCUUUAUAUGCUUGAUAUAACAACGGUUUAUAUCAAGCAUAUAAGACAUCUAUUUGACUGAAUUAUAUAAUUUAGCACAAUCUCAAACUUUGAUUUAUUUAAUUAAUUGAACAAAUAAUCUUGAUCAAUAUUUAAUAAAUUGUAUUUGAUUAGUUCACAUAGUUCAUUUCAUUUAUUUCUUUUAGUCAUAGAAAAUAUUCAUUUUGUUUUUAAUCAACAAUUCAAUUCAUUUUUAACAUUAUUUAUAAUGACUGGUUUGACAUUUAAAUUUUUUAGAUAAAAUAUAAAUAAAUGUUAUAUUUAAAAAUAUGAUAUAUAUAUAUAUAUAACUUUAAAUUUCAAUAGAUACAUCAACUAUUCAAUAUUAAUCUUAUAUUUCAUUUCAUACAAAGUAUUUAUUACUACAUUCGUAUCUGUAUGUAAGACUCUUUUAUAAAUUUUUAUUAUUAUUUUUUAUAUGAUUUUUUGCAAAUUACAAGAUAUAUUAAUGAUUUUUUUUCACAAAAAUACUUCUAAUUAAAUAAAAUAGAUAAAAAGAUGAACUAUCUCUCUUAAAAAAUAAAAGAUAACUUUAUAAAAAUAAUAUACAUCAUUAAUAAAUUUAAAUAUAAAAAUAAUUUUUCUUAGUUUAUGUGUAUUGACUAAGAAAAUAUGUAGUAAUAGAGAAAGAGAAGAAAAUAGCUAUGCCAGUUGGUUGCUUUAUAAUAAUUAAUAUCCGAUAUGAAGUCGCUUUAUGCAAGCAAAGAUUAAGGAAAGGCAGUCCUCUACUUCAAAAUUAGUCUUUAGCACGUAACCUUUCUCGAUUCUAAAAUGCUUGACAUUUUGUUUUGCUGUUUGUCUUGAUUCUAAUUAAUUCAUUUUUGACAAAGUGAGAGAGGAGAACAAAAAGACGAAAUAAUGUAUCAAUUGAGAAGAGAGUCGAAUGAGACAGCGAUGAAGAAUAAACCAACAGCUUUGGUUUGCUUGAUGAAGCAAGAAAGGAAAACAAACAAACAAACUGUGUGCCGGGUCCAUUCUAUGUGCGAAAAGACAAGAAAAUAAAACAUUUGUAUUUCUCUUAGCACUUGUGUUAUUUAAACAUUAAAAUACAAAUAUAGUAUAUUCC